ACGGUAUCAACAGAAGAAGCACCGGCUAACUACGUGCCAGCAGCCGCGGUAAUACGUAGGGUGCGAGCGUUAAUCGGAAUUACUGGGCGUAAAGGGUGCGCAGGCGGUUCUGAAAGUCAGAUGUGAAAUCCCUGGGCUUAACCUAGGAAUUGCGUUUGAAACUACAGAACUAGAGUGUGGCAGAGGGGGGUGGAAUUCCAUGUGUAGCAGUGAAAUGCGUAGAGAUAUGGAAGAACAUCGAUGGCGAAGGCAACCCCCUGGGCUAACACUGACGCUCAGGCACGAAAGCGUGGGGAGCAAACAGGAUUAGAUACCCUGGUAGUCCACGCCCUAAACUAUGUCAACUAGUUGUCGGAUCUUAAUAGAUUUGGUAACGUAGCUAACGCGUGAAGUUGACCGCCUGGGGAGUACGGUCGCAAGAUUAAAACUCAAAGGAAUUGACGGGGACCCGCACAAGCGGUGGAUUAUGUGGAUUAAUUCGAUGCAACGCGAAAAACCUUACCUACCCUUGACAUGUCAAAAAGCUUUCAGAGAUGGAAGUGUGCCUGAAAG
RNAcentral lists this ribosomal RNA (552 nucleotides) under uncultured bacterium. RNAcentral's name for it is "bacterial SSU rRNA". It matches the Rfam family "Bacterial small subunit ribosomal RNA", at positions 472 to 1024 of the family's 1533-position model. The record is from RNAcentral.